RNAcentral lists this ribosomal RNA (252 nucleotides) under uncultured bacterium. Its description in RNAcentral is "partial 16S ribosomal RNA". It matches the Rfam family "Bacterial small subunit ribosomal RNA", at positions 56 to 334 of the family's 1533-position model. The record is from RNAcentral.
UGCAAGUCGAGCGCAGUCCUUCGGGACCGAGCGGCGGACGGGUUAGUAACGCGUGGGAACAUACCCUUUUCUACGGAAUAGCCUCGGGAAACUGAGAGUAAUACCGUAUAAGCCCUUCGGGGGAAAGAUUUAUCGGGAAAGGAUUGGCCCGCGUUAGAUUAGAUAGUUGGUGGGGUAAUGGCCUACCAAGUCUACGAUCUAUAGCUGGUUUUAGAGGAUGAUCAGCAACACUGGGACUGAGACACGGCCCAG